This 434-nucleotide ribosomal RNA is filed under the name uncultured Opitutia bacterium. RNAcentral describes it as "bacterial SSU rRNA". It matches the Rfam family "Bacterial small subunit ribosomal RNA", at positions 9 to 425 of the family's 1533-position model. Lineage: Bacteria; Pseudomonadati; Verrucomicrobiota; Opitutia. The record is from RNAcentral.
GAGUUUGAUCUUGGCUCAGAAUGAACGCUGGCGGCGUGGUUAAGACAUGCAAGUCGAACGGUUUUUUCGGUGUAGCAAUACAUCGAAAAAGCAGUGGCGAACGGGUGCGUAACACGUGAACAAUCUACCUCCGAGUGGGGAAUAGCUCGCCGAAAGGCGAAUUAAUACCGCAUGUGGUCGGGACUCGCAUGAGUCCUGAACUAAAGUCAGGGACCGCAAGGCCUGACGCUAGGAGAGGAGUUCGCGGCCUAUCAGCUAGUUGGCGAGGUAAUGGCUCACCAAGGCUAAGACGGGUAGCUGGUCUGAGAGGAUGAUCAGCCACGCUGGAACUGAGACACGGUCCAGACACCUACGGGAGGCAGCAGUGGGGAAUAUUGGACAAUGGGCGGAAGCCUGAUCCAGCAACGCCGCGUGAGGGAUGACGGCCUCGGUUG